RNAcentral lists this unclassified non-coding RNA (345 nucleotides) under soil metagenome. Its description in RNAcentral is "partial contains 5.8S ribosomal RNA, internal transcribed spacer 2, and large subunit ribosomal RNA". The stretch from base 1 to 120 matches the Rfam family "5.8S ribosomal RNA", at positions 35 to 154 of the family's 154-position model. The record is from RNAcentral.
GAUGAAGAACGUAGUGAAAUGCGAUACGUAAUGUGAAUUGUAGAAUUCAGUGAAUCAUCGAGUCUUUGAACGCACAUUGCGCCCCCUGGUAUUCCGGGGGGCAUGCCUGUCCGAGCGUCAUUGCUGCCCUCAAGCACGGCUUGUGUGUUGGGCCUCCGUCCUCCUCCCGGGGGACGGGCCCGAAAGGCAGCGGCGGCACCGCGUCCGGUCCUCGAGCGUAUGGGGCUUCGUCACCCGCUCUUGUAGGCCCGGCCGGCGCUUGCCGACACAUCAAUCUUUUUUCCAGGUUGACCUCGGAUCAGGUAGGGAUACCCGCUGAACUUAAGCAUAUCAAUAAGCGGAGGA